AAAGUCGUAACAAGGUUUCCGUAGGUGAACCUGCGGAAGGAUCAUUAUCACGUAUCCACGUAUAAACCAAUGUUGAACUGUCAAUAACCUUUGGAGAAUUAUUUUAAGGUAGUGUGUGUUUAGAUAUUUAAGCGUUUUUUGAAGUGAUUAAACGUUGUCUAAAUAUACCAACAAUUUCGAUUGUGCUUUAAUUUCUCUAGAGUUGUAUUAAUCACUUUAUUAUUAACCAUUAUAACAACAUCAUUAUAACUUUUGAACUAAAUUAAUUUAUACUCUCUCACGAGAGAUAAAUACAAAUUACGAAACUAAAAGAACAACUCUUAGCAACGGAUAUCUUGGUUCUC
Molecule: unclassified non-coding RNA, 344 nt
Filed under: Basidiomycota sp.
Lineage: Eukaryota; Fungi; Basidiomycota
Description: partial contains small subunit ribosomal RNA, internal transcribed spacer 1, and 5.8S ribosomal RNA
Rfam family: Eukaryotic small subunit ribosomal RNA (bases 1-47)
Source: RNAcentral